Molecule: ribosomal RNA, 119 nt
Filed under: Gossypium arboreum
Lineage: Eukaryota; Viridiplantae; Streptophyta; Magnoliopsida; Malvales; Malvaceae
Source: RNAcentral
GGGUGCGAUCAUUCCAGUACUAAUGUACCGGAUCUCAUCAGAACUCCACAGUUAAGCGUGCUUGGGCUAGAGUUGUACUCGGAUGGGUGACCUCCUGGGAAGUCCUCGGGUUGCACCCU